GGAGGUAGAAGAAAAGCAUGCAGUCCUGCUUACUUUGCAUUUGCUUUUGCCAAAUUAGAAGAAGAAAAUCUCUGAAGAAGUGAAGUGAGAAUGAAGCGCUCUCAAACAAUGCACUGUAAGCAGCCUGCGAAAACUUCAUCUCAGACAUGAGGAACCAGACACAAGGAGGAGGUCUGGGGGCAUUUAAUUCAUCUCCCCAUCAAACAAUCUGCCCCAGAUGCUCUCUAGUUUUUGAAAGUCAACCAGUGACUGCUCGUGGAGGUUGGAAGGGACCUUGGAGGGAGUCCAGUCCAACCCCCUGCUCGGAGCGGGGCUAAGGGACAGCGUGUUGCUCGGAGGGGCUGCCGGGACCCAGGGUGACCCAGGGGUGCACGAGCAGGCUCGCCUGUGCAGCUUAUUUCAAGAUCUCUGCGGUAAAAUAACUUGUUAACAAGAACUGUAACUUUUUUUUUUUUUUUUUCACUCCAAAUUGCUGGAGGAGCGUUUGGAGGAAAGUAAAGAAAUUAAUUGCACCUGGUUUCAUUUCUAAAGUUGGAUUUUUGCAAAGCUGCCCCGGUCAAAAGUGUAGCCUUUUUAUGUGACGAGACAGCAAAAGCCUCUCUUGUCAGUUAUAGUUUGUCAUCUUUGUCUUCUCCUUCGUAGUCUGUAGGUCUUUAGGAUCUGUUGCCCCAAGGCAACAUCCUGCACCACCAAGGACAAGGGAUUUUUUUCCUUUCUCUUUUUUUUCUUUUUUCUUUCUUUUUCAGGGGGGAGGGAAAGGAGAACAUCGUCUACACGUUUGGACAAAUUCAUCUUUCUGCCCUUCACUUCAUAUCGACGUCAAAGUCCAACACCAGCAGCUUUGUUUCCUCAGUCCCGUUGCGGCUCCCGACUGCACACACCAGCUUUGUGUUAGAAGCUCUGAUUCGCCACACGACGCCUCCGCUUCCCCCGCUCUCCAAUGUGACUAGAUUUCGGAUAAAUUCACCCGUUUUCAAGUCCCAAAGUUUUACAGUCCCAUCAUCUGAGCUGAUUUUGACUGUAGAAUCAGCAUUCCCAGAUACAAGUAUAUUGUCCUUGAGUUCCAUUCCACUUGUGAGUGACUGGUGGCCUGUUAGAGUGUGAAUGCAGUUGCCUGUCUCCACAUCCCAAACUCGGAUGGAGGUGUCAAGAGAUCCACUCACCACAUGGAUACCAUCAAACUACAAGAAAGUCCUGCCAGACUGUGGUGUGAACAGGCACAAGCAUGAAAUUAAUUUCUUUUGCCUUUCAAUGCCUGGAAGUGAUGCUCCGACUCUAUGAAUGAACAAGAUGAUGUUUUGGGUUAGUAAAGGUAAG
Molecule: long non-coding RNA, 1317 nt
Organism: Hirundo rustica (Barn swallow)
Lineage: Eukaryota; Metazoa; Chordata; Aves; Passeriformes; Hirundinidae
Exons: 5
Source: RefSeq, a predicted model, not a curated record